ACCAAACUUUGCAUCAUGUUCUGGGCUCCCAUUCUCAGCCUUUUAGUCAUGUGGUGCACAGGUUUGAACUGCCAGGACGUGAUAUCUCAGCCACCCUCAGCAUCCGUUUCACCAGGGAACACAGCGAAGCUCUCCUGUGUCAUGCGCAGUGGGCUCAGCAUCAGUGGCUAUGCUGUACGCUGGUUCCAGCAGAAGCCUGGGAAUCCCCCCAGAUUCCUCUUAUGGUAUCACUCAGAUUCCAGCAAGCACCAGGGCUCUGGGGUCCCCUCUCGAUUCUCUGGUUCCAAAGACACCUCCAGCAACACCUGCUAUUUAAACAUCGCUGGAGCUCUGGCCGAAGAUGAGGCUGAUUAUUACUGUGCAGUGUGGCACAGUGAUGCUUUUCACAGUGAUUCAUUCAGAAGGGGAAGCCAGACAAAAAUCUGUCGUAUUCCCUAAGGGGAGCUGAAUUGCGUAGCUAUG
This is a non-coding RNA of Heteronotia binoei (common prickly gecko), 462 nucleotides long. NCBI's taxonomy places the organism in Eukaryota, Metazoa, Chordata, Lepidosauria, Squamata, Gekkonidae. The record is from the annotation of a RefSeq genome assembly.